AAGAGUUAUAUCCUUUUUUUAUUUUAUUUUUUAUUUGCCUUGCCAUGUGUCACCCGUUGAAUGGAUAUGCAUGAAUUUUGAAAAAAUACCAUGCUGGAUGUUACCGCCCCUCUGAGAGAGAGAGAGAAGAGUUAUAUCCUUUUUUUAUUUUAUUUUUUAUUUGCCUUGCCAUGUGUCACCCGUUGAAUGGAUAUGCAUGAAUUUUGAAAAAAUACCAUGCUGGAUGUUACCGCCCCUCUCACCUUUUUCAAUUAAAUUUUCGUUUUUUUAUUUUAUUAUUUUCUUUUAUUAUUUAUUAUUAUUAUUAUUAUUUGUGUUAAGUAAUUAGGUUUUAUUUUAAUGAGAUGGUCAUUGGGCUUUGAUGUCUUACACACCUUUGCCACAUAUACACCCCACUAUGUUUUUUUCUUCUUUUCAUUUUACUAUUUAUU
RNAcentral lists this long non-coding RNA (431 nucleotides) under Lathyrus oleraceus (garden pea). RNAcentral's name for it is "Pisum sativum (pea) long non-coding RNA (PSAT_LNC002525)". The record is from RNAcentral. Lineage: Eukaryota; Viridiplantae; Streptophyta; Magnoliopsida; Fabales; Fabaceae.